GAAACCUCGAAAAGAAACGCCCUGAAGCUGAUAAAGUGGCUUCAGAAGAGGAAACUGCUAAAAAGAAAAGUCAAAUGCAAAAUAUGCCAUCAGGAUAUGAAACUGAAAAAGAGGACGAACAGUGGAGAUCUAUAUGCUUGGACCUGUCGCCAUACAGCACAUAUGGGAAAGGAAAAACAAAAAUCCAUCAGGCACAAGUGAAUCUUCAGUCAUUCAAAGGUCUCCCUCAGUAACUGGAUGCAGUUCAUGUACAGAUUUUGUCAGGGUCUACGAUUACGACAGAUUGAUAUGAUGGAUGACACAAUUGCAGCCAGUUCAACCACUCUCACUACAAUGUCACAGCAGUGGAAAGGAUGAGAAGGCGUACAGGCCAACAGAUUGGUGGAAGAAGGGAGUUUGUUGUGAUCGAUGAGAGCCUUUUUCGGCACAAAAGAAAGGUAUGUUGGUAAAUGGACCUGUACUUGUAUAGCGCCUUUCUAGUCUUUCGACCUCUCAAAGCGCUUUUACACUAAGUGCCACAUUCACCCUUUCACACACAUUCACACAGUGAUGGCAAAGCCCAUCGAACAGAAACUAACUCAUUCAUACACAUUCACACACCGAUGCACGGCAUCAGGAGCAAUUUGGGGUUCAGUAUCUUGCUCAAGGAUACUUCGACAUGUUGCACCAGGAGCCGGGGAUCGAACCCACAACCUUCCGAUUAAGGAACAAUCCACUCUGCCUCUGAGCCACAGCCAUAGUAAUAGUGACUGUAAUUAAGUGUCAAAUACAGUCAAACAAGUUAUUGUAAUAGGAUGUAUCUGUUUACGUCUGUGUUUGUUGUUUUGUUUCCGCAUCAGUAUGGGAGAGGAAGAAUGGCUGGUGGGUGGAAAAGAAAGAAGUGGGUCUUUAGGAUGUUAGGUGUGAGGCAUCAUCAAGGACGAAGAAAGCCUAAUCUACGUCUUGUGGAGAGAAGAUCUCGAAGACAUCUAGUCCCCUUGAUUGCCCAUUAUGUGAGGCUUGAAUCUACAGUUAUCAGUGAUGAGUGGCGUGCGUAUCGCAUACUCUCUGCACUAGGGUACAACCAUCACACUGUCAACCACAGCAGGUGUGUGAAAGGGUGAAUGUAGAUCCCCAAACUGGUGCCCAUACCCAGCAUCUUGAGAGGGCCUGGAGAUCCUAGGAGCAGAUCUGGAGGCUUAGGGGAAAUCGCACUGACAGUUUGCUUUCCGACCACCUUUCAGUGAUUGAGUGGAAUGAAUGGCUCGCAGAGAAACACUGUAAGGGUGCAUUUGACUGAUUCAUGACAUUUCCAAGUAGUCAUAUGCAGUCACUGUAACCGUUGUUAGCAAGACUUUCUUUCUGUGAGACAAAUUCCAAGAAUUCAGUGCACUUUGUUUUUGUAGUGUCGUAAAAUUCAAAUGUGUUGAGUAUAUAUAUUUUGUCUGUCUCAAAUAAUUUUUAGACGUUUCUUUGAGAUAGGAUUUAGAAUUACGUUAAAUUGUGUGUGUAAAUUAUUUUUGAUACAGAAAGUUUGUAAUUUUUUCAAACAAAGAUUUUAUUUUUUGAUACAGAGUUUUUAUUUUUUGAUAGAGUUUUUAUUUUAAAACAAAGAUUUUAUUUUUCAUAUUUGAAACGUCUGUGAUCCACUGUUGAU
Molecule: long non-coding RNA, 1636 nt
Organism: Dicentrarchus labrax (European seabass)
Lineage: Eukaryota; Metazoa; Chordata; Actinopteri; Moronidae
Exons: 3
Source: RefSeq, a predicted model, not a curated record